CUUUUUUUUAGCGGCGGACGGGUGAGUAAUGCUUAGGAAUCUGCCUACUAGUGGGGGCCAACAUUCCGAAAGGGAUGCUAAUACCGCAUACGUCCUACGGGAGAAAGCAGGGGAUCUUCGGACCUUGCGCUAAUAGAUGAGCCUAAGUCGGAUUAGCUAGUUGGUGGGGUAAAGGCCUACCAAGGCGACGAUCUGUAGCGGGUUUGAGAGGAUGAUCCGCCCCUGGGACUGAGACACGGCCCAGACUCCUACGGGAGGCAGCAGUGGGGAAUAUUGGACAAUGGGGGGAACCCUGAUCCAGCCAUGCCGCGUGUGUGAAGAAGGCCUUAUGGUUGUAAAGCACUUUAAGCGAGGAGGAGGCUACUGAGACUAAUACUCUUGGAUAGGGACGUUA
RNAcentral lists this ribosomal RNA (394 nucleotides) under uncultured bacterium. RNAcentral describes it as "bacterial SSU rRNA". It matches the Rfam family "Bacterial small subunit ribosomal RNA", at positions 85 to 477 of the family's 1533-position model. The record is from RNAcentral.